GGUUCACCAAGGCGACGAUGCGUAGCCGACCUGAGAGGGUGAUCGGCCACACUGGGACUGAGACACGGCCCAGACUCCUACGGGAGGCAGCAGUAGGGAAUCUUCCGCAAUGGACGAAAGUCUGACGGAGCAACGCCGCGUGAGUGAUGAAGGUUUUCGGAUCGUAAAGCUCUGUUGUUAGGGAAGAACAAGUACCGUUCGAAUAGGGCGGUACCUUGACGGUACCUAACCAGAAAGCCACGGCUAACUACGUGCCAGCAGCCGCGGUAAUACGUAGGUGGCAAGCGUUGUCCGGAAUUAUUGGGCGUAAAGGGCUCGCAGGCGGUUUCUUAAGUCUGAUGUGAAAGCCCCCGGCUCAACCGGGGAGGGUCAUUGGAAACUGGGGAACUUGAGUGCAGAAGAGGAGAGUGGAAUUCCACGUGUAGCGGUGAAAUGCGUAGAGAUGUGGAGGAACACCAGUGGCGAAGGCGACUCUCUGGUCUGUAACUGACGCUGAGGAGCGAAAGCGUGGGGAGCGAACAGGAUUAGAUACCCUGGUAGUCCACGCCGUAAACGAUGAGUGCUAAGUGUUAGGGGGUUU
This 580-nucleotide ribosomal RNA is filed under the name Bacillus vallismortis. RNAcentral describes it as "bacterial SSU rRNA". It matches the Rfam family "Bacterial small subunit ribosomal RNA", at positions 262 to 833 of the family's 1533-position model. Lineage: Bacteria; Bacillati; Bacillota; Bacilli; Caryophanales; Bacillaceae. The record is from RNAcentral.